RNAcentral lists this ribosomal RNA (433 nucleotides) under uncultured bacterium. Its description in RNAcentral is "partial 16S ribosomal RNA". It matches the Rfam family "Bacterial small subunit ribosomal RNA", at positions 29 to 507 of the family's 1533-position model. The record is from RNAcentral.
AACGAACGCUGGCGGCAUGCCUAACACAUGCAAGUCGAACGAUAGCACCGGGUGCAUUUGCUCACAGGGGCGUAACGCGUCGGAAGCGUGCCGUAUACAUGGAAUAACUCUUCGAAGGGGGUGAUAAUAUCGGAUAAUGUCUGCUAACACAAGAUUUAGCGGGUUGGGAUGGGCGGGCGUUCGCUGAGCCAGUUGGUAGGGUACAAGCCGACCUAGGAGAAGAUCGAUAGCUGGUCAGAGGGGAUGAGCAGCCACACUGGGAGUGAGACAGGGCCGGGAAUCCUGCGGGAGGGAGCAGUGGGGAAUAUUGGACAAUGCGCGAAGGCCUGAUCCACCUAUGCCGUGUAAGUGAUGUAGGCCUGAAGAGUGUAAAGGUCUGUUAACCGGGCUGAUAAUGACAGUACCGGAAGAAUAAGCCACGGCUAACUCCGUG